UGCCAGCCGCCGCGGUAAUACGAAGGGUGCAAACGUUGCUCGGAAUCAUUGGGCGUAAAGCGCACGUAGGCGGCUUGACAAGUUGGGUGUGAAAGCCCGGGGCUCAACCCCGGAAGUGCACCCAAAACUGUUAGGCUUGAGUCCCGGAGGGGCCCAGAGAAUUCCCGGUGUAGAGGUGAAAUUCGUAGAUAUCGGGAGGAAUACCGGUGGCGAAGGCGACCACCUGGCCAGAUACUGACGCUGAGGUGCGAAAGUGUGGGGAGCAAACAGGAUUAGAUA
RNAcentral lists this ribosomal RNA (279 nucleotides) under uncultured bacterium. RNAcentral's name for it is "partial 16S ribosomal RNA". It matches the Rfam family "Bacterial small subunit ribosomal RNA", at positions 506 to 784 of the family's 1533-position model. The record is from RNAcentral.